Small nucleolar RNA from Echinops telfairi (small Madagascar hedgehog), 128 nucleotides. RefSeq annotates it as small nucleolar RNA SNORA44. NCBI's taxonomy places the organism in Eukaryota, Metazoa, Chordata, Mammalia, Afrosoricida, Tenrecidae. The record is from RefSeq and is a predicted model, not a curated record. The transcript has a single exon.
GGGCAUGUUCCCAAGGUCUGUGGCUGGUGUGGCCAUCUGAUCUCCAACUGCAUGCAAGAGCAACUUGCAGAGACUGACAGCUCAGGUCAGCAAAGUAUCUGCAGCUGCCACUUGUCUUUUCUAUCAAA